GCGGGCGUGGUGAAAUUGGCAGACACACUAGACUUAGGAUCUAGCGCUUCGGCAUGGAGGUUCGAGUCCUCUCGCCCGCACCA
Molecule: transfer RNA, 83 nt
Filed under: Erysipelothrix rhusiopathiae
Lineage: Bacteria; Bacillati; Bacillota; Erysipelotrichia; Erysipelotrichales; Erysipelotrichaceae
Also listed under: 12 other names
Description: tRNA-Leu(tag)
Rfam family: tRNA
About the family: Transfer RNA (tRNA) molecules are approximately 80 nucleotides in length. Their secondary structure includes four short double-helical elements and three loops (D, anti-codon, and T loops).
Source: RNAcentral